GGCCUGUGGGAGUACCAUUGAUCCCGCCCUCAUCUGAGGUGACGGGAAAGGGCCGGGAAAUUUCCACUUCUGAAUAAAAUGACUGCUGAAGUGAUGACCCGCAAGAAUUGGUCAAAUUUGGAGUAGACUUCACCCUGCGCUUGGUGAAACUUCUACGUCAAGGAUGCAAGAGGCGCCGAAGUAACGCAGCUCCCACCUGUCGCUCUCCGCUGGGCGCCGAGACUAUGGCCGGAGAAUAGCUGCACCGGGAUUGGAGAAAGGAAGCCAUCAGUCUUAGGAAGGCUCCACCUUCCUGCCAUUGCCUGGUUGGAGGAGCGUAGCGUCAGUCACUAGAGCAGUCACCACCUCUGGGACAGGUGAUUUUAAUGGGCUCACCUGAAUGCUGCUGAGCGCUGCCACCCCCAUAUACAGGAAGAUGCCAUAGAGCACAGGCAUUGGAAUGAACUGGUAGAAAGAAGCAGAGAGUUAUCAAAGUUUACCUCUGCCAACCUCCCAGAUGCCCCAGGAUGCCCAGAUGCCCUAGAUCCCUCUAGCAUCUAGCAUCCAGGUCUGCCCAGGCCUUGCCUUUCCU
RNAcentral lists this long non-coding RNA (571 nucleotides) under Homo sapiens (human). Its description in RNAcentral is "HSALNT0095276". The record is from RNAcentral. Lineage: Eukaryota; Metazoa; Chordata; Mammalia; Primates; Hominidae.